RNAcentral lists this ribosomal RNA (255 nucleotides) under uncultured bacterium. Its description in RNAcentral is "partial 16S ribosomal RNA". It matches the Rfam family "Bacterial small subunit ribosomal RNA", at positions 524 to 776 of the family's 1533-position model. The record is from RNAcentral.
AACGGAGGGGACUAGUGUUACUCAACCUGACUGGGCGUAAAGGGUACGUAGGCGGUAUGUUGUGUUUUUAGAAAAAUUCUCGAGCUAAACUUGAGCAAAUCUAUUUUUGACUAAUAUACUAGAGUUUUUGGGAGUAGAAAGGUACGCGCAGUGUAGAGGUGAAAUUCGAAGAAACUGUGAGGACUACCGACUGGCGAAGGCGUUUCUAUAGCCAAAAACUGACGCUGAGGUACAAAAGCGUGGGGAGCAAACAGG